GCCUAGCUGGCUUGGUCAAUAGAGCAAACAACUCUUGAUCUCAGGGUUGUGGGUUCAAGUCCCACGCUGGGUA
Molecule: transfer RNA, 73 nt
Filed under: Felis catus (domestic cat)
Lineage: Eukaryota; Metazoa; Chordata; Mammalia; Carnivora; Felidae
Rfam family: tRNA
About the family: Transfer RNA (tRNA) molecules are approximately 80 nucleotides in length.
Source: Rfam by way of RNAcentral